This 253-nucleotide ribosomal RNA is filed under the name uncultured prokaryote. RNAcentral's name for it is "partial 16S ribosomal RNA". It matches the Rfam family "Bacterial small subunit ribosomal RNA", at positions 524 to 776 of the family's 1533-position model. The record is from RNAcentral.
UACAGAGGUCUCAAGCGUUGUUCGGAUUCAUUGGGCGUAAAGGGCAGGUAGGUGGUUACGUAUGUCUGAGGUGAAAUCCCCGAGCUUAACUUGGGAAGUGCCUUGGAAACGGCGUAACUAGAGUAUCGGAGAGAGUCGUAGAAUUCCCGGUGUAGCGGUGAAAUGCGUAGAGAUCGGGAGGAAUACCAGAGGCGAAGGCGGCGACUUGGACGAUUACUGACACUCAACUGCGAAAGCAUGGGGAGCAAACAGG